AUGGCCGCUAAGGUUUGUGUGAGUUUCUGUGUGCCAACCGGGCACCAGCUGAAACCGCCAUGCUAAAAACUUGUGGCGCUUUUCUGCCCGGGAAUCUCCCGGUCUGUGGGCAGUGAAAAUUUGUUUGGAAAUGUGGUGCACACUCACCCUCUGUGUACCCACUGGGAACUGUGCU
Long non-coding RNA from Sapajus apella (tufted capuchin), 175 nucleotides. RefSeq lists it as uncharacterized. Lineage: Eukaryota; Metazoa; Chordata; Mammalia; Primates; Cebidae. The record is from RefSeq and is a predicted model, not a curated record. The transcript has 3 exons.